RNAcentral lists this ribosomal RNA (610 nucleotides) under Limnobacter sp. RNAcentral describes it as "bacterial SSU rRNA". It matches the Rfam family "Bacterial small subunit ribosomal RNA", at positions 34 to 641 of the family's 1533-position model. Lineage: Bacteria; Pseudomonadati; Pseudomonadota; Betaproteobacteria; Burkholderiales; Burkholderiaceae. The record is from RNAcentral.
GGUUGGCCGCUGCCUUACACAUGCAGUCGAACGGUAACAGGGAGCUUGCUCCGCUGACGAGUGGCGAACGGGUGAGUAAUACAUCGGAACGUGCCCAGUAAUGGGGGAUAGCUCGGCGAAAGCCGGAUUAAUACCGCAUACGCCCUGAGGGGGAAAGUGGGGGACCGCAAGGCCUCACGUUAUUGGAGCGGCCGAUGGCUGAUUAGCUAGUUGGUAGGGUAAAGGCCUACCAAGGCGACGAUCAGUAGCUGGUCUGAGAGGACGAUCAGCCACACUGGGACUGAGACACGGCCCAGACUCCUACGGGAGGCAGCAGUGGGGAAUUUUGGACAAUGGGGGAAACCCUGAUCCAGCAAUGCCGCGUGUGCGAAGAAGGCCUUCGGGUUGUAAAGCACUUUUGUCAGGGAAGAAAUCCUUUGGGCUAAUACCCUAGGGGGAUGACGGUACCUGAAGAAUAAGCACCGGCUAACUACGUGCCAGCAGCCGCGGUAAUACGUAGGGUGCAAGCGUUAAUCGGAAUUACUGGGCGUAAAGCGUGCGCAGGCGGUUGUGUAAGACAGGUGUGAAAUCCCCGGGCUUAACCUGGGAAUUGCAUUUGUGACUGCACGAC